UACGUAGGGUGCGAGCGUUUGUCCGGAAUUACUGGGCGUAAAGAGCUCGUAGGUGGUUUGUCGCGUUGUCCGUGAAAACUCACAACUCAAUUGUGGGCGUGCGGGCGAUACGGGCAGACUGGAGUACUGCAGGGGAGACUGGAAUUCCUGGUGUAGCGGUGGAAUGCGCAGAUAUCAGGAGGAACACCGGUGGCGAAGGCGGGUCUCUGGGCCAUAACUGACGCUGAGAAGCGAAAGCAUGGGGAGCGAACAGG
This 254-nucleotide ribosomal RNA is filed under the name uncultured bacterium. RNAcentral describes it as "partial 16S ribosomal RNA". It matches the Rfam family "Bacterial small subunit ribosomal RNA", at positions 524 to 776 of the family's 1533-position model. The record is from RNAcentral.